GAUGAACGCUGGCGGCGUGCCUAAUACAUGCCAGUCGAGCGAACAGACGAGGAGCUUGCUCCUCUGACGUUAGCGGCGGACGGGUGAGUAACACGUGUAUAACCUACCUAUAAGACUGGGAUAACUUCGGGAAACCGGAGCUAAUACCGGAUAAUAUAUUGAACCGCAUGGUUCAAUAGUGAAAGACGGUUUUGCUGUCACUUAUAGAUGGAUCCGCGCCGCAUUAGCUAGUUGGUAAGGUAACGGCUUACCAAGGCAACGAUGCGUAGCCGACCUGAGAGGGUGGUCGGCCACACUGGAACUGAGCCACGGUCCAGACUCCUACGGGAGGCAGCAGUAGGGAAUCUUCCGCAAUGGGCGAAAGCCUGACGGAGCAACGCCGCGUGAGUGAUGAAGGUCUUCGGAUCGUAAAACUCUGUUAUUAGGGAAGAACAAAUGUGUAAGUAACUAUGCACGUCUUGACGGUACCUAAUCAGAAAGCCACGGCUAACUACGUG
This 497-nucleotide ribosomal RNA is filed under the name uncultured bacterium. Its description in RNAcentral is "partial 16S ribosomal RNA". It matches the Rfam family "Bacterial small subunit ribosomal RNA", at positions 28 to 507 of the family's 1533-position model. The record is from RNAcentral.